Molecule: ribosomal RNA, 270 nt
Filed under: uncultured bacterium
Lineage: Bacteria
Description: partial 16S ribosomal RNA
Rfam family: Bacterial small subunit ribosomal RNA
Source: RNAcentral
GUCCACGCCGUAAACGAUGAGUGCUAGCUGCUGGGAAUGUUUACCGUCUCAGUGGCGAAGCUAACGCAUUAAGCACUCCGCCUGGGAAGUACGGCCGCAAGGCUAAAACUCAAAGGAAUUGACGGGGGCCCGCACAAGCGGUGGAGCAUGUGGUUCAAUUCGAAGCAACGCGCAGAACCUUACCCAGGCUUGACAUCUCGGGAAUCCCACGGAAACGUGGGGGUGCCUUCUCACGAAGGAGCCCGAUGACAGGUGCUGCAUGGCUGUCGU